Molecule: unclassified non-coding RNA, 259 nt
Filed under: uncultured Lactarius
Lineage: Eukaryota; Fungi; Basidiomycota; Agaricomycetes; Russulales; Russulaceae
Description: sequence contains ITS2
Source: RNAcentral
AAAUCUCAACCUUCUCGGUUUCUUCUGGACACCGAAGGAGGCUUGGACUUUGGAGGCCUUUGCUGGUGUCUCUCUCUUUUGAAAGGCCAGCUCCUCUCAAAUGAAUUAGCGGGGUCCUCUUUGCCGGUCCUCGACAUGUGAUAAGAUGCUUCCAUGUCUUGGUUUAUGGCUCUUUUGCCUUUGGGCCCCGCUUCUAAUCGUCUCAAGACAAUGUUUGAGCGCGUCUCCCUUCUCGGGAAACACUCUCAAACCCACGAAC